This 252-nucleotide ribosomal RNA is filed under the name uncultured bacterium. RNAcentral describes it as "partial 16S ribosomal RNA". It matches the Rfam family "Bacterial small subunit ribosomal RNA", at positions 527 to 779 of the family's 1533-position model. The record is from RNAcentral.
CGAAGGUGCAAGCGUUACUCGGAAUUACUGGGCGUAAAGCGUGCGUAGGUGGUCGUUUAAGUCUGUUGUGAAAGCCCUGGGCUCAACCUGGGAACUGCAGUGGAAACUGGACGACUAGAGUGUGGUAGAGGGUAGCGGAAUUCCCGGUGUAGCAGUGAAAUGCGUAGAGAUCGGGGGAACAUCCAUGGCGAAGGCAGCUACCUGGACCAACACUGACACUGAGGCACGAAAGCGUGGGGAGCAAACAGGAUU